AGACCGAUAGCGAACAAGUAGAGUGAUCGAAAGAUGAAAAGCACUUUGAAAAGAGAGUUAAACAGCACGUGAAAUUGUUGAAAGGGAAGCGCUUGCGACCAGACUCGCCCGCGGGGUUCAGCCGGCAUUCGUGCCGGUGUACUUCCCCGUGGGCGGGCCAGCGUCGGUUUGGGCGGCCGGUCAAAGGCCCCUGGAAUGUAGUGCCCUCCCGGGGUACCUUAUAGCCAGGG
RNAcentral lists this ribosomal RNA (230 nucleotides) under Aspergillus sp. BAB-1529. RNAcentral describes it as "partial 28S ribosomal RNA". It matches the Rfam family "Eukaryotic large subunit ribosomal RNA", at positions 331 to 567 of the family's 3401-position model. The record is from RNAcentral. Lineage: Eukaryota; Fungi; Ascomycota; Eurotiomycetes; Eurotiales; Aspergillaceae.